RNAcentral lists this ribosomal RNA (868 nucleotides) under uncultured archaeon. RNAcentral's name for it is "bacterial SSU rRNA". It matches the Rfam family "Archaeal small subunit ribosomal RNA", at positions 1 to 878 of the family's 1478-position model. The record is from RNAcentral.
CUCCGGUUGAUCCUGCCGGACCCGACUGCUAUCAGAGUGGGACUAAGCCAUGCGAGUCAACAUAGCAAUAUGUGGCAUACGGCUCAGUAACACGUAGUCAACAUGCCCAGGGGACGUGGAUAACCUCGGGAAACUGAGGAUAAACCGCGAUAGGUCAUCACUUCUGGAAUGGGUAAUGACUUAAAUCUAUAUGGCCCCUGGAUUGGACUGCGGCCGAUCAGGCUGUUGGUGAGGUAAUGGCCCACCAAACCUGUAACCGGUACGGGCUCUGAGAGGAGGAGCCCGGAGAUGGGCACUGAGACAAGGGCCCAGGCCCUAUGGGGCGCAGCAGGCGCGAAACCUCUGCAAUAGGCGAAAGCUUGACAGGGUUACUCUGAGUGAUUUCCGUUAAGGAGAUCUUUUGGCACCUCUAAAAAUGGUGCAGAAUAAGGGGUGGGCAAGUCUGGUGUCAGCCGCCGCGGUAAUACCAGCACCCCGAGUGGUCGGGACGUUUAUUGGGCCUAAAGCAUCCGUAGCCGGUUCUACAAGUCUUCCGUUAAAUCCACCUGCUUAACAGAUGGGCUGCGGAAGAUACUAUAGAGCUAGGAGGCGGGAGAGGCAAGCGGUACUCGAUGGGUAGGGGUAAAAUCCGUUGAUCCAUUGAAGACCACCAGUGGCGAAGGCGGCUUGCCAGAACGCGCUCGACGGUGAGGGAUGAAAGCUGGGGGAGCAAACCGGAUUAGAUACCCGGGUAGUCCCAGCUGUAAACGAUGCAGACUCGGUGAUGAGUUGGCUUAUUGCUAACUCAGUGCCGCAGGGAAGCCGUUAAGUUUGCCGCCUGGGGAGUACGGUCGCAAGACUGAAACUUAAAGGAAAUGGCGGGGGAGCA